RNAcentral lists this ribosomal RNA (253 nucleotides) under uncultured bacterium. RNAcentral's name for it is "partial 16S ribosomal RNA". It matches the Rfam family "Bacterial small subunit ribosomal RNA", at positions 524 to 776 of the family's 1533-position model. The record is from RNAcentral.
UACGUAGGGUGCAAGCGUUGUCCGGAAUUACUGGGUGUAAAGGGUGCGCAGGCGGACUUAUAAGUCAGUGGUGAAAUCUCACAGCUUAACUGUGAAACUGCCUUUGAUACUGUAGGUCUUGAAUUAGGGAGAGAUUCGUGGAAUUCCGAGUGUAGCAGUGAAAUGUGUAGAUAUUCGGAAGAACACCAGAGGCGAAGGCAGCGAAUUGGCCCUAUAUUGACGCUCAGGCACGAAAGCAUGGGGAUCAAACAGG